Molecule: ribosomal RNA, 479 nt
Filed under: uncultured bacterium
Lineage: Bacteria
Description: bacterial SSU rRNA
Rfam family: Bacterial small subunit ribosomal RNA
Source: RNAcentral
GUGCCAGCAGCCGCGGUAAUACGGGGGGGGCAAGCGUUAUCCGGAUUUACUGGGUGUAAAGGGAGCGUAGACGGCAGUGCAAGUCUGGAGUGAAAGGCGGGGGCUCACCCCCCGGACUGCUCUGGAAACUGUACGGCUGGAGUGCAGGAGAGGUAAGUGGAAUUCCUAGUGUAGCGGUGAAAUGCGUAGAUAUAGGAGGAACACCAGUGGCGAAGGCGGCUUACUGGACUGUAACUGACGUUGAGGCUCGAAAGCGUGGGGAGCAAACAGGAUUAAAUACCCUGGUAGUCCACGCCGUAAACGAUGAUCACUAGGUGUCGGGGGUUAAAGAACCUUCGGUGCCGCAGCCAACGCAGUAAGUGAUCCACCUGGGGAGUACGUUCGCAAGAAUGAAACUCAAAGGAAUUGACGGGGACCCGCACAAGCGGGGGAGCAUGUGGUUUAAUUCGAAGCAAUUCAAAGAUUCUUACCAGGUCUUG